GACGAACUCUGGCGGCGUGCUUAACACAUGCAAGUCGAACGAAAAGAGGGAAAGAGCUUGCUCUUUCCGGAAUUGAGUGGCAAACGGGUGAGUAACACGUAAACAACCUGCCUUCAGGAUGGGGACAACAGACGGAAACGACUGCUAAUACCGAAUAAGUUCCAAGGGCCGCAUGGCCCAUGGAAGAAAAGGUGGCCUCUACCUGUAAGCUAUCGCCUGAAGAGGGGUUUGCGUCUGAUUAGCUGGUUGGAGGGGUAACGGCCCACCAAGGCGACGAUCAGUAGCCGGUCUGAGAGGAUGAACGGCCACACUGGAACUGAGACACGGUCCAGACUCCUACGGGAGGCAGCAGUGGGGAAUCUUCCGCAAUGGGCGAAAGCCUGACGGAGCAACGCCGCGUGAGUGAUGACGGCCUUCGGGUUGUAAAACUCUGUGAUCCGGGACGAAAAGGCAGAGUGCGAAGAACAAACUGCAUUGACGGUACCGGAAAAGCAAGCCACGGCUAACUACGUGCCAGCAGCCGCGGUAAUACGUAGGUGGCAAGCGUUGUCCGGAAUUAUUGGGCGUAAAGCGCGCGCAGGCGGCUUCCCAAGUCCCUCUUAAAAGUGCGGGGCUUACCCCGUGAUGGGAAGGAAACUGGGAAGCUGGAGUAUCGGAGAGGAAAGUGGAAUUCCUAGUGUAGCGGUGAAAUGCGUAGAGACUAGGAAGAACACCGGUGGCGAAGGCGACUUUCUGGACGAAAACUGACGCUGAGGCGCGAAAGCGUGGGGAGCAAACAGGAUUAGAUACCCUGGUAGUCCACGCCGUAAACGAUGGAUAAUAGGUGUAGGAGGUAUCGACCCCUCCUGUGCCGGAGUAACGCAAUAA
Molecule: ribosomal RNA, 867 nt
Filed under: uncultured bacterium
Lineage: Bacteria
Description: bacterial SSU rRNA
Rfam family: Bacterial small subunit ribosomal RNA
Source: RNAcentral